UGGUCGGGAGCUCCCUUUGGGACGGGAGCGGGAAUAGACCGAAUUUCUCUGUUUCGUCAGGGCACAUCUGCCGGCGCCCAACGGUAGACGUC
This is a regulatory RNA element of Celeribacter halophilus, 92 nucleotides long. It matches the Rfam family "Rhodo-rpoB RNA". The record is from Rfam. Lineage: Bacteria; Pseudomonadati; Pseudomonadota; Alphaproteobacteria; Rhodobacterales; Roseobacteraceae.